GUUUUUAAGAUACAUAUUAAAAGUUUACUCUAAAAUGAGGGGAAAAUAAUCUGAAGAUGAGAAUUUUCUCUGUUACUCAAGUUUAUGUUACAUUUAGCACCAAGUAUAUUAUUGUUGCUAUCACCUUAGGGGUUGUUUACAUGAGCCCGGGUAGCCAUGUAGGCUGGCCCGGUUAACCAGGCUGAAGGCCUGGCUAGCCAGGUUACAUGAGUUGGUGACUUUACAUGGGAAAAUUCCAGCCUGGUUAUCCGGGCGUCCCCUUUGACUCAAGUGAGAUCUCGGCUAGGAAGAUUCUUGUUAAAUGAUUUGUAUUAAGCUGGGUGCCUCGGUUAACAGGACUAGUCAGGCUCAUGUAAAUAGCCCCUUAGUUAUUAAGACUUGUUGGCAGAGUAAAAUAUAUCAGGCAAUAAAACUGGUUUCAACUUGCAACAAAUCAGAUGUUGUUUUUUACAAAGGGAACCAAGAAAAUGAAACUUUAACAUCUAGUGUAUUCUACUAUGUACAAGUUGUACAACCCCAAAAAUGUAAACAACACUUUGAUUUGAUUUUAGUUCCAUAAAUCCAUAUUUUUUAUCCAUAUUAUCAAUCCAUAUUUAAUUUGAUUUUAGUUCCAUAAAUCCAUAUAAUUU
Paramuricea clavata is the source of this 629-nucleotide non-coding RNA. The record is from the annotation of a GenBank genome assembly. Lineage: Eukaryota; Metazoa; Cnidaria; Anthozoa; Malacalcyonacea; Plexauridae.